UACAGGGGGUGCAAACGUUGCUCGGAAUCAUUGGGCGUAAAGCGCACGUAGGCGGUUCGUUAUGUCGGAUGUGAAAGCCCCGGGCUCAACCUGGGAAUGGCAGUGGAAACUAGGGGACUGGAAUCUGGCAGAGGGGGGUGGAAUGCCGCGUGUAGCAGUGAAAUGCGUAGAGAUGCGGCGGAACACCGAUGGCGAAGGCAGCCCCCUGGGCUGAGAUUGACGCUCAGGCACGAAAGCGUGGGGAGCAAACAGG
RNAcentral lists this ribosomal RNA (253 nucleotides) under uncultured bacterium. RNAcentral describes it as "partial 16S ribosomal RNA". It matches the Rfam family "Bacterial small subunit ribosomal RNA", at positions 524 to 776 of the family's 1533-position model. The record is from RNAcentral.